GACGAACGCUGGCGGCGUGCCUAACACAUGCAAGUCGAGCGGGGAACUUCGGUUCCCAGCGGCGGACGGGUGAGUAACACGUGGGUAACCUGCCUUGUAGAGGGGGAUAGCCUUCCGAAAGGAAGAUUAAUACCGCAUAACAUUGAGAUAUCGCAUGAUAUUUUAAUCAAAGGAGCAAUCCGCUACAAGAUGGACCCGCGGCGCAUUAGCUAGUUGGUGAGGUAACGGCUCACCAAGGCGACGAUGCGUAGCCGGCCUGAGAGGGUGAACGGCCACAUUGGAACUGAGACACGGUCCAGACUCCUACGGGAGGCAGCAGUGGGGAAUAUUGCACAAUGGGCGAAAGCCUGAUGCAGCAACGCCGCGUGAGUGAUGAAGGCCUUCGGGUUGUAAAGCUCUGUCUUCUGGGACGAUAAUGAUGGUACCAGAGGAGGAAGCCACGGCUAACUACGUGCCAGCAGCCGCGGUAAUACGUAGGUGGCAAGCGUUGUCCGGAUUUACUGGGCGUAAAGGAUGCGUAGGCGGAUACUUAAGUCAGAUGUGAAAAUCCCGGGCUUAACUUGGGAACUGCAUUUGAAACUGGGUAUCUAGAGUGCGGGAGAGGAGAGUGGAAUUCCUAGUGUAGCGGUGAAAUGCGUAGAGAUUAGGAAGAACACCAGUGGCGAAGGCGACUCUCUGGACCGUAACUGACGCUGAGGCAUGAAAGCGUGGGGAGCAAACAGGAUUAGAUACCCUGGUAGUCCACGCCGUAAACUAUGAAUACUAGGUGUGGGAGUUGUCAUGACUUCCGUGCCGCAGUUAACACAAUAAGUAUUCCGCCUGGGGAGUACGGUCGCAAGAUUA
Molecule: ribosomal RNA, 843 nt
Filed under: uncultured bacterium
Lineage: Bacteria
Description: bacterial SSU rRNA
Rfam family: Bacterial small subunit ribosomal RNA
Source: RNAcentral